This is a long non-coding RNA of Triticum aestivum (bread wheat), 5609 nucleotides long. RefSeq lists it as uncharacterized. The transcript is spliced from 4 exons. NCBI's taxonomy places the organism in Eukaryota, Viridiplantae, Streptophyta, Magnoliopsida, Poales, Poaceae. The record is from RefSeq and is a predicted model, not a curated record.
GUCCUAGGGAGUCUAUAUAAUGCCGCCGAGAGCCCUAAUCGCCCCUCCUCUCUCCAUUCCCACCCUCUUCUCGUCUCCCCCCAUCAAGGUAAGCUCCCACGCAUAGCCGCCGUCGCCACGGACAGAGCGAGCGCGAGAUCUGUUCCGGCGUCGUCCCCGCCGUCUCCAGCCUUCCCAAGCCGCGAGAAGCAGCGCCUCAUCCGCUGCCGUCGACCCCCGCAAGCUGUACGACCAGAGGAGCCGGGAACGACUACGUCCGCGUCCUCUUGUACUUCCCGGACGUCACCGGCUUCUUCCUCUACGUCGGCUCCGCUCCGGACAGCCUACGUCCUCUUCAACCUCGUGCGCGAGCCAUGAGUUUCGAAGACGCGGUCUGCAAGCUCGCUGCCGACAUAGCGGCCGCCUCGCCGGCGCUGGUGAAGAAGGCCGUGGACGCACUGGCGCGCAGCAGCCGUGCCUGCCCGCUGCGGAUGCCUUCAUCCACCUGUUCCUGGGCACGCUCUACGUGAUCGUCGCGGCAAUUUUCUUCGACACGGUCGCGGUCCGGGUCUGCGGCGGCGACUAGGCCGCGAGAUCCGUCCUGUCCGAGAUCACGGGAUGCAUCUUUAUAGCCUCCCUGCUUCUUUCAGCGCCGGCGUUCGUGCUCUUCUUCCUGCGCGCAGCAGGCAGCAGCAGCGAGCUGGCGGAGGGCCUCCUCAUGAAGUAUUUCGAUGCGCGGCUUUCUAGUGCCUCUGAAAGCCCUACGUCGCCGCUAGGCAGGGCAGCUGCACGGCUUUUUGCUUGGUCAUUUUGGUUGGGAUUAAUCUCGUGGAUUCUUCAGCUGUGUGGACUAUUUCCAGAGAUGUCUGACCUUCUGGCCGACGCGUCUAAACUGGGCAUCUGGUCAUGUUUCGCUCUCAUCUAUUUGCGUGCUGGAAUGGCGCUGCGGAGGAUGAAUCCCAGGCCCAGCGACAUCAUCGUGGCAGAGGCAGAUCACGCGGCUUCACCUACUCAGGAUUUCGAGCUGGCUGCAGCAAGUUGAUGGAUAUCAGUGCCAGUGCAGGGAGUGCUUCUGCUUCGUAGCUAUCGCGGAUGCUGCUGUGGAUAAAGAGAUGGGCAUGUCUGGUACAAGUAGUAUAACUUAGUAAGCUUGUUUCCAUGCCAUUCUAGGUCAGAGCUUAUGCAGUCAGAGUAUGGUAGUGGUAGUUUGUUUACUCUGAACCGGGCCUAUCCAACAUUUACCUGUGCACAGCCUAGCUAAGAACUGUCGGUAAUUAAGCUUAUCUCAAUGCAUGUCAUAAAGUGAGUUAGUACGCUGUGAUGAAGGCCUUCCUUCCAUUCUAUGUAAUCAUAGCGUUUUAUGUACGCUAUGGAGUAGUAUUUAACUUGCUGGGUUAAAUGCUAGACGUAGAAUCUGUCUAGGGACUAGCUAGGGAGUGGCGGUUGCAGGAGCAGGACGGGGGAAAGCAGGCAAGUGGUUGCAGGUUUCACGUUUCCGGAAAUGGGCCUGGAGCGCUGCACAUGGCCUGCCCACUGCAACCAGCCCAUCAGCGCUUAAUUGACAUGCGCCCGCCACAAAUUUCCAUCCUUGUUUUCAACCUUCUUUUUAGUGCUAACCACUAGUCGUCACAACCAAAUCAAACUAUAUAUACAGGAAGAGCUAUUUACUUACUCCCGAGUAAAGAUGGACCUUUCAAAGGGAAGGGGAGACGUACGCCAGCCAACCACUAGUCGUCACUUCACUACACUACCCUUACCCUGUGCUCAGAGUCAGAGAAAUUCCUUUCUCGGCUAGUUGUUGAUGGAUGCAGGCACAUGUCAUGUUACUUUCCUACGAGAUGUUUCACGCUUCAGGAUACGCCCCCGUGCCGCUCUGCAUCGUAUAUAUCAUCCCACCAUUUUUUGUCUGAUUUUGAUACUGUUAUUUUUCUUAGUUUUAGGCUCCGACGAUCCUUUUCAACAAAGGAUAAAUUUCAUUUAAUCAAAAUGAAAUAUCAAGAAGAUACAAACACAAGUCGGAUUUAGGCUUUCACCUCAUAACACGAAACCAGUUGUCGAGUAGCACCGCCAUCGAAGUCACUCAAGUGUAGUGAACACCGAUUUUCCGCGAUCCUAGAGAUUUGGAUUUCGGCCGAAAAAACUAAAUUUGGCCGAAAUUCGGCCAUUUCGUUAAGGCCCGGUAACUAUGGUUGCUGACGAAAUUAUUUCAGCCCUGUUUGAAUUGUUUGGCCCGCUCUAGCGUCUCGUCCAUCCUGCAUACCCCUUCCGGUGAAGUAAAAGGUCUGGAUAGACCUCCUAACCCUAGAAAGUACGAAUUUCCCCACCUCUCUGUUUUAGCGGCGACGCCUCCCUCGCGCCCAACCACGACGUGUUCGCACCGCCUCGUCCUCCUGAGGGCAUCGCCUCGGCUACAGGGAUGCCUCUGCCCGGCAGCUUCGCACAGCGAGGACUACAAGUACGGCCACGGUACAGCCGUCGGCCAUAGGACUUGUGCGGAUAGCGAGGUGGAAUUGCUCCACGACGAGCCACUGCUUAUGCGGUUGGUUGGGAGCGUGCGCGUCAGUCCUAGCUGCCGAAACGGGACCAGGAGUGGAGCAUGCGUUCGAUUCUGGGCAAGAUAAGUUGUGUGUAGUGUGGGAUUCCUGCUAUUUUGAUGUGUUCUUGAUACGAUUGCUGCAACUAAAGAGAAUCAUGGGUGCAAUCUCUACUCCUAUAAAAAAAAUGAGUUGAUGAUAAUGGUGUGCCUGCCAUCCAACAUUUUUGACCAUCAGAUCUUUAUCUGAUGCACGGGAGUCCUGCUCCAUCCAUCCCCACCUCAUCCAAACAGACAAGGCAUUCGAUCCUUCUAGACAAGGGCUGAAAACAAUGGAACCGAACCCUGCAGGUGGCCGCUGUUGCUCACACCGCGCGAGUGCCGGACUCUCCUCUGCUGUCUCCUCUCUGGCAACACAGCCCCACCUUCACCUCCAAUUAUCCCUCUCUAUGCCCAUUAUCUCCUCUUACCCCGUACCUCGUGUCCUCCGACGCCGACAUCGUCCAUUCCCAAGUCCGCGACACCUCUUCUACCCCCUUCCCUGAUGCACCAAACCCUCCUCCCACCACCUCCUCUCCUCCCCUACCCUAUCUCCUCCGACGCCGACGUCAGCAAGUACGCCACCGGUGUUGUCCCACCUGGCACGAUUCCAUGACGCCUCUCAUGCAGCAGCACCGCCGCCCACCUCCCCCUCUCCCCCACCAACGCGCUCCACAUUCAUCGAAUUCGAGCACGAGCUGCUCCCCGGAGAAUGGAGUGCCACCCACGAGAUCCACACCCGCGUCCUCCUACAGUUGACUUCGCCUCAGAGAUGGCUGAUCUGCUGUGAUGGUUAUGUGGAGGUACUAUGCUCUGCUAUUGCCUCUACUUCCCAAUCCAUCAAAUUUUCUUUAACCCAAAGUUCAAAUCUGUGUGCCCAGCCUAAACUGUCUAGAAACCACUCAUGUAUCCAUAAGCAGUGUCCACUACAACAAUGUUUGGUUUCAGUUUAUUAUCCAGAAUCUUCUUGUGGAAUGAAAUUUUAAGUACUGAAAAUGUUGGUGUAUGCCUAAACCGGUAUUUUACACUGUCAACUCUAUGUUGCUCUUUCUAGAGCUGCAUUUAGAAAUAAUAUAAAGAUUUUUACUCUCCCGAAUAAGCUAAAGAAGGACAGUGCAACUCCAUUGCAAAUUUUACAAAGAAAUGGUCUACAGAGAAGUUCUCGACGUGUAGUACAAGGUCUAAAUCAAGUGCGAUUUCAUGGUUGUAUGGUUCUGAAGUUUUUACAGCCACGAAAUUGCUGCCCAUGUAUGGUUCUGAAGUUUUUGGAGAGAACUUUCAUAAAAAUAACUUAGAUACUUGCUUUUGUGUUCAUGAUAUUUUUUGUAAAAGCAUCAUAUGUGUGUUUAGAAUGAUUUUUUGGUAGUUCUCUUAGUUACUCCCUCUGUUCAAAUAAGUUGGAUGGCGCCUACAGCAGGUCUCUUUGUCAUUGAUGCCCCUCCUUUGCUUGGUAGCUCCACAUCCAUCUUUUCAGGUCACAUCCCAAAUAUUUGUUUCCUUGUUGUGUGUUCUCGGUAUCUUUUUUUGUUGCAGAAACAUGGUUGAUGUAAGCAAGUUACAAGAAGUCCAGUACUAUUUCUCUCUCUCUCUCUCCCUCCCUCUGUGUGUCUGUGUGUGUAAAUGUGCGCUUACUCCUUCUAUAUUCACAUGAUUUCAAAGCAUGUUUUACUGUACAUUUUAUUUCUUUGCUGAGUGUAAAUAUACUGCAAGUGUUGUUCAUUUUCUUGCUUUGUUUAAAUUUACUACAAAUCCUCAAUAGGCUCAUUUUUUUUCCUUUGUCUUAAGCAAGUUACAAGAAGUCCAGUGCUAUUUGUGUGUGUGUGUGUGUGUGUGUACAUGUGCACUCGCCCCUUCUAUGUUCAUAUGAUUUCAAAAGCAUGUUUUACUGUACAUUUUGUUUCUUUGCUCAGUGAAUAUGUACUGCAGGUGCUGCUCAUUUUCUUGCUUUGUUUAAAUAUACUACAAAUCCUCAAUAGGCUCAUUCUUUUUCCUUUGAAUAUAACAGAGACAAUUAUGUAUGCAGUAGUGAUUGUCUGAUCUGAUGUCCUUAUAGGUGAGCAGAUAGAUGAAGCGAAAACCCCAGGAUUCAUGUUGUUGGCACAUAUGUUUUGAGCAAAAAACUAAAAAGAAGGGUAUACUAUGCUUGAAAAAUGAUUCCAUGGCCUGAUAGAUGCCUAAGUUAUGUAACUAAUUAAGUGGAACUAGCUGUGUGAGUUAUGUCUGAAAUAUUUCUUCCCUGCAUGGUGGCACCGUAUACUGAUUCAUUUUUCCUAUGUAUAUUUAGCAAAUCAUUCAGUAAAACACUUCUACUGCAUAAUUAUUUCUCAUGGAACCAUAUAUAAGUGUGCGCUCAAGCUAUAGCAUAUAUGUUCUUUGGAUAUAUUAUUUUCUCCCAUUUGUCUUCACAUUUAAGUCUGGUGUGGCUAAUAUACUGGCACGGAAUGAGCAAUGUCGUUGACUUCCUAGAUGGACUGUAGAAGAAUAACUUGUUUGCUUUCUACAACCUUUCGAAGGAAAGAAGCAGUUCUAUUGCACUAGUUCUAAGGCCGGACAUGAUGUAUGUAUGGGAGAUUGCUGGUUGUCUUGGACUGCUAGUGAUUUGGAAGAUUUGAUGUGAGCGUAGUCGUCACAUCUUUCACAAUUUGGAGUUAUCAGUUGUGACCCUUGCACGCCUUGCAAUUAACAAAGCCAAUGUUGGAAGGACGUGAUGCAUGUCACAUCAUUUUGCAUAGUAGUCGAGCUUAGUGACCCCUGAUCAUUUUGUUUGUACUUUUAUAUACUCUCUUAUAUAUGCAAGUUCUGUAUCAAGUGUUCUCUGUCUUAGAUUUGUCUAAAUACGGAUGUAUCAAGUCAUCUUUUAGUACUAGAUACAUCCGUAUCUAGACGAGUCUAAGAUAAAAAAAUUGGGACGGAGGAAGUAUUUUAGUAAUAUUCUCUGUUGCAUGCUCUAUGUCCCCUUGAUAUAGGAUAAUGAAAGCAUUGAGAAAGGUGAGUAUGGAGAACAAGAAACCUUCUUGUGAGACGAAGAUGGAUAAGAAAUGUUUGGUUUCGACCCCGG